RNAcentral lists this ribosomal RNA (916 nucleotides) under uncultured bacterium. RNAcentral describes it as "bacterial SSU rRNA". It matches the Rfam family "Bacterial small subunit ribosomal RNA", at positions 246 to 1155 of the family's 1533-position model. The record is from RNAcentral.
UUGUUGGUAAGGUAAAAGCUUACCAAGGCUUCGAUCAGUAGCUGGUCUGAGAGGACGACCAGCCACACUGGGACUGAGACACGGCCCAGACUCCUACGGGAGGCAGCGGUGGGGAAUUUUGGACAAUGGGGGCAACCCUGAUCCAGCCAUGCCGCGUGAGUGAAGAAGGCCUUCGGGUUGUAAAGCUCUUUCAGCCGGAACGAAACGGUUACGGUUAACACCCGUGACUACUGACGGUACCGGAAGAAGAAGCACSGGCUAACUACGUGCCAGCAGCCGCGGUAAUACGUAGGGUGCGAGCGUUAAUCGGAAUUACUGGGCGUAAAGCGUGCGCAGGUGGUUUUGUAAGUCAGAUGUGAAAGCCCCGGGCUCAACCUGGGAACUGCGUUUGAAACUACAAGACUAGAGUGUGGCAGAGGGGGGUGGAAUUCCGCGUGUAGCAGUGAAAUGCGUAGAGAUGUGGAGGAACACCGAUGGCGAAGGCAGCCCCCUGGGUCAACACUGACGCUCAGGCACGAAAGCAUGGGGAGCAAACAGGAUUAGAUACCCUGGUAGUCCAUGCCCUAAACGAUGUCAACUAGUUGUCGGGCCUUUACGGGCUUGGUAACGUAGCUAACGCGUGAAGUUGACCGCCUGGGGAGUACGAUCGCAAGAUUAAAACUCAAAUGAAUUGACGGGGACCCGCACAAGCGGUGGAUUAUGUGGAUUAAUUCGAUGCAACGCGAAAAACCUUACCUACCCUUGACAUGUAUCGAAGCCCGCAGAAAAGCGGGGGUGCCCGAAAGGGAACGAUAACACAGGUGCUGCAUGGCUGUCGUCAGCUCGUGUCGUGAGAUGUUGGGUUAAGUCCCGCAACGAGCGCAACCCUUGUCAUUAAUUGCCAUCAUUUAGUUGGGCACUUUAAUGAGACUGCCGG